RNAcentral lists this long non-coding RNA (425 nucleotides) under Cucumis sativus (cucumber). RNAcentral describes it as "long non-coding RNA (CSAT_LNC003211)". The record is from RNAcentral. Lineage: Eukaryota; Viridiplantae; Streptophyta; Magnoliopsida; Cucurbitales; Cucurbitaceae.
CCAAAAAUAGAGGAAAUAUACUUAAAGUAAUUGAACUGGAGUUCUGAAAUAAAUCUAUGAAAAUAUAACUACUGAAAUAUAAAUGUGAAAGAAAACUGAACGGUUCCCUAUGGCGAUCCACGGUCACUUCUUAUCAUUCGCCAGUUUUCCCUUGCCUCUACCCUUACCUGAAAACUAAACAUUUAAAAGAGUGAGUAUAAAUUUAUACUUAGUAAGAGACCCAUAUUGGUCUCAGUAUGUGUCUGUUAACCUAGAGUCAUGUAACAUGGUACUGCAUACUAUUGCGCUCCCGAACGCAUACUAUCCAAUGGUCCCGUAGGGACACAUUUGGGCUCUUGGUGAACCCGAAGGAAUAACCCUAUAGGAGAGUCGGGUUGUAAGUGAUCCCAUCGAAUCACAUCUCAAACCAGCCACAUAGGCAUACA